This 480-nucleotide ribosomal RNA is filed under the name uncultured bacterium. RNAcentral describes it as "partial 16S ribosomal RNA". It matches the Rfam family "Bacterial small subunit ribosomal RNA", at positions 28 to 507 of the family's 1533-position model. The record is from RNAcentral.
GAUGAACGCUAGCGGCAGGCCUAACACAUGCAAGUCGAGGGAGAGGUUACCUUCGGGUAACCAAAACCGGCGCACGGGUGCGUAACGCGUAUACAAUCUGCCUUUCACAUAGGGAUAGCCCGAAGAAAUUUGGAUUAAUACCUAAUGGUAUAUAAGAGCGGCAUCGUUUUUAUAUUAAAGCUACGGUGGUGAAAGAUGAGUAUGCGUUCUAUUAGCUAGUUGGAGAGGUAACGGCUCCCCAAGGCGACGAUAGAUAGGGGUUCUGAGAGGGAUGUCCCCCACACUGGUACUGAGAUACGGACCAGACUCCUACGGGAGGCAGCAGUGAGGAAUAUUGGACAAUGGUCGGAAGACUGAUCCAGCCAUGCCACGUGCAGGAUGAAGGUCCUAUGGAUUGUAAACUGCUUUUGUAAGGGAAGAAUAAGGAGUACGUGUACUUUGAUGACGGUACCUUACGAAUAAGCAUCGGCUAACUCCGUG